GACCAGACUCCUACGGGAGGCAGCAGUGGGGAAUAUUGCACAAUGGGGGAAACCCUGAUGCAGCGACGCCGCGUGAGCGAUGAAGUAUUUCGGUAUGUAAAGCUCUAUCAGCAGGGAAGAAAAUGACGGUACCUGACUAAGAAGCCCCGGCUAACUACGUGCCAGCAGCCGCGGUAAUACGUAGGGGGCAAGCGUUAUCCGGAUUUACUGGGUGUAAAGGGAGCGUAGACGGCAAUGCAAGCCAGAUGUGAAAGCCCGGGGCUCAACCCCGGGACUGCAUUUGGAACUGUGUAGCUGGAGUGUCGGAGAGGCAGGCGGAAUUCCUAGUGUAGCGGUGAAAUGCGUAGAUAUCACGCAGAACCCCGAUUGCGAAGGCAGCAUGCCGGCUUCCGACUGACGCUGAAGCACGAAAGCGUGGGGAUCGAACAGGAUUAGAUAUCCUUGUAU
This 447-nucleotide ribosomal RNA is filed under the name uncultured bacterium. RNAcentral describes it as "partial 16S ribosomal RNA". It matches the Rfam family "Bacterial small subunit ribosomal RNA", at positions 329 to 793 of the family's 1533-position model. The record is from RNAcentral.